AACCAUAGAAACCUGCGGAGUACCUGCGGAGGGAUCAUUAAAUAUAUAUUAUGGUUUUUUUAAAACCAUUUUCCUCGUGAUUUCCGUAUACGUUCACUUCGGCAGGUUUUGGGUUGUCUAGCUCAACUUUCAAGUCUCAUUUUCUGAGGUUAUGAAAGCGGCCUGCCAGAGGUUUUUCAAAUCACUUGUUUAAAUUAUCGUCUGAAAAAUUCUCUCGUUCGAGAGAAAUGAAUACAAAUA
RNAcentral lists this unclassified non-coding RNA (240 nucleotides) under soil metagenome. Its description in RNAcentral is "partial contains 5.8S ribosomal RNA, internal transcribed spacer 2, and large subunit ribosomal RNA". The record is from RNAcentral.